AACGCGAAGAACCUUACCAGCCCUUGACAUCCCGGUCGCGGACACCAGAGAUGGAGUCUUUCAGUUCGGCUGGACCGGAGACAGGUGCUGCAUGGCUGUCGUCAGCUCGUGUCGUGAGAUGUUGGGUUAAGUCCCGCAACGAGCGCAACCCUCGCCCUUAGUUGCCAUCAUUUAGUUGGGCACUCUAAGGGGACUGCCGGUGAUAAGCCGCGAGGAAGGUGGGGAUGACGUCAAGUCCUCAUGGCCCUUACGGGCUGGGCUACACACGUGCUACAAUGGCGGUGACAGUGGGACGCAAUGGAGUAAUCCUGCGCAAAUCUCAAAAAGCCGUCUCAGUUCGGAUUGUGCUCUGCAACUCGAGCACAUGAAGUUGGAAUCGCUAGUAAUCGCAGAUCAGCACGCUGCGGUGAAUACGUUCCCGGGCCUUGUA
Molecule: ribosomal RNA, 430 nt
Filed under: uncultured Alphaproteobacteria bacterium
Lineage: Bacteria; Pseudomonadati; Pseudomonadota; Alphaproteobacteria
Description: bacterial SSU rRNA
Rfam family: Bacterial small subunit ribosomal RNA
Source: RNAcentral